GAUGAAGAACGUAGCGUAAUGCGAUAAGUAAUGUGAAUUGCAGAAUUCAGUGAAUCAUCGAAUCUUUGAACGCACAUUGCGCCCCUUGGUAUUCCGAGGGGCAUGCCUGUUCGAGCGUCAUUAUAACCCCUCAAGCUCAGCUUGGUGUUGGGGCCUGCUGCACUGGCAGCCCUUAAAAUCAGUGGCGGCGCCAUCUGGCUCUAAGCGUAGUAAUUCUUCUCGCUAUGGAGUCCUGGUGGAUGCUUGCCAUCAACCCCCAAUUUUUCUAUGGUUGACCUCGGAUCAGGUAGGGAUACCCGCUGAACUUAAGCAUAUCAAUAAGCGGAGGA
This 329-nucleotide unclassified non-coding RNA is filed under the name soil metagenome. RNAcentral describes it as "partial contains 5.8S ribosomal RNA, internal transcribed spacer 2, and large subunit ribosomal RNA". The stretch from base 1 to 120 matches the Rfam family "5.8S ribosomal RNA", at positions 35 to 154 of the family's 154-position model. The record is from RNAcentral.